CACGUAGGGUGCGAGCGUUGUCCGGAAUUAUUGGGCGUAAAGAGCUCGUAGGCGGUGUGUCGCGUCGGCCGUGAAAACCUGCAGCUUAACUGUGGGCUUGCGGUCGAUACGGGCAUCACUGGAGUUCGGCAGGGGAGACUGGAAUUCCUGGUGUAGCGGUGAAAUGCGCAGAUAUCAGGAGGAACACCGGUGGCGAAGGCGGGUCUCUGGGCCGAUACUGACGCUGAGGAGCGAAAGCGUGGGGAACGAACAGG
This 254-nucleotide ribosomal RNA is filed under the name uncultured bacterium. RNAcentral describes it as "partial 16S ribosomal RNA". It matches the Rfam family "Bacterial small subunit ribosomal RNA", at positions 524 to 776 of the family's 1533-position model. The record is from RNAcentral.